AGGUAGAGGGGUUUUAGUCGGUAGGUCCCAGGACUUCUUCCUCGGGAAUCCGACACUACCCAGUCGUACGGACGGCUGGGUGUCUUUUGAAGAUUUCCCCUCUUCC
Molecule: non-coding RNA, 106 nt
Organism: Agrilus planipennis (emerald ash borer)
Lineage: Eukaryota; Metazoa; Arthropoda; Insecta; Coleoptera; Buprestidae
Source: Rfam